This is a non-coding RNA of Labrus bergylta (ballan wrasse), 866 nucleotides long. The record is from RefSeq and is a predicted model, not a curated record. NCBI's taxonomy places the organism in Eukaryota, Metazoa, Chordata, Actinopteri, Labriformes, Labridae.
GGCGCCGUUCUCAGACAUGACACGGAAGAAGGCCCCAGCGUCCGGGGUCCCAACAGGCUUACCCUGAAAACAGGCAACAGCUGAUUUAAGGAGCAGCAGAAGCCAGGCGCUCAAAGCAGACGGAGAUCACCUCAACCUUCAGCGAGGUGAUCGUGAUCAGAAUCAGAUUUAGAAUCAGAAUCGUAUUUCAUUGCCAAGUAUAUUUACACAUACAAGGAAUCUGUCUUGGUGUGUUGGUGAAAAACAACCAACAAGAGUUGGUGAGUUAAUGGGGCACUACUACCACCCGACAUCCCUGAUGCCCAGCCACCAGCAUUGGACUCAGUCGUCCCCAAAACCACCACCGUCCUCAUUCAUGGACGGCCUGCUCCGGACCUCCACCUCAGCGGCAAGGAAGUGUGGAUCAGGAACGCGAGGACUGCAAAGGAGAAAUCCUUCCUGCAUCUUAUUACAUCUCCACCUAUCCCAUUUUUCUAAACAAUGAGUAAAGUCUUUUAGCAGCUCUUUUAUAAAUCGCCUGGAGAUAUAAUGAUUGAUUGAUUGAUCAACAACAUGGUGCAGAAGUGAUUCAGGGUUUAAAGACGUCUACCUAGUCGACGUACCUCAUAGAGGAUGGUGCUGUUGCCGUGGAGCAGAGGGCCGUAGCAGAUGUAAGAAUGGCCGACGACCCAGCCGAGGUCUGACGCAGCCCACCACACCUGCAACAGGUUCAAAAGACACUCAUCGAAGGCAAACACAGUGCACUGAAAGUUGAGAAAACUCUAUCAACACUGUCUUUACAUUCAACUGAAGGCACUCUAAAUGUUAAUCCAGAAGCUUAUGUUGUAAAAAAGAAAAGAUGAAUGUGAAUAAAGAAAAGAAAAACA